UACGAAGGGGGCUAGCGUUGUUCGGAAUUACUGGGCGUAAAGCGCACGUAGGCGGCUUUCUAAGUCGGGGGUGAAAUCCUGGAGCUCAACUCCAGAACUGCCUUCGAUACUGGAGAGCUCGAGUCCGGGAGAGGUGAGUGGAACUGCGAGUGUAGAGGUGAAAUUCGUAGAUAUUCGCAAGAACACCAGUGGCGAAGGCGGCUCACUGGCCCGGUACUGACGCUGAGGUGCGAAAGCGUGGGGAGCAAACAGG
Molecule: ribosomal RNA, 253 nt
Filed under: uncultured bacterium
Lineage: Bacteria
Description: partial 16S ribosomal RNA
Rfam family: Bacterial small subunit ribosomal RNA
Source: RNAcentral